AGACAGCUACAGUGUACUCAUAUAUGUGUGUGUGUGUGUAUGUAUGUAUGUAUGUAUGUAUGUAUAUACAUACACAUAGAUACACACACACACAUAUAUAUGUACACAUAUAUA
RNAcentral lists this microRNA precursor (114 nucleotides) under Mus spretus (western wild mouse). RNAcentral describes it as "predicted gene, 56347 (ENSMSPG00010032260.1)". The record is from RNAcentral. Lineage: Eukaryota; Metazoa; Chordata; Mammalia; Rodentia; Muridae.